GUCCACACUGUAACGAUGAUAACUAGGUGUCGGCCGAAUCUGGUCGGUGCCACAGCGAAGCGUUAAGUUAUCCACCUGGGAGUACGCCGGCAACGGUGAACUCAAAUGAAUUGACGGGGUCCGCACAAGCGGUGGAGCAUGUGGUUAAUUCGAUGAUACGCGAGGAACCUUACCUAGGCUAGAAUGUGAAGGAUGAUACAGAAAUGGAUCAGUCAGCAAUGACCUGAACAAGGUGCUGCAUGGCUGUCGU
RNAcentral lists this ribosomal RNA (250 nucleotides) under uncultured bacterium. Its description in RNAcentral is "partial 16S ribosomal RNA". It matches the Rfam family "Bacterial small subunit ribosomal RNA", at positions 793 to 1055 of the family's 1533-position model. The record is from RNAcentral.